AGCUAACCUGCAUCUCAAAAGGAAAGGACCUUGUGCGGCUUCCUCCAGCCAGGACUCUGUUCAACAGGACCUUACUGUGUGGGGACGCUCCGCAGCAGUUCAUCCACUUGGACCAUUUCCAAAGCGCAAGCGGCUCCUGGAGACAAGCUGGAUACACCGAGGCAGGAGGAAUCAGCGGUUCGGUUUCGCAAGAGCACCAUUAAGGAAAAUAAAAGCAUCUAACGAAGAAAUCUAAAGAGCACUGGACAAAUGAGACAUCACAAGAAAAAGGACGAAUCAUCAUGAAAAAUGUCCCAAGAAAGAGAGUAAAUUUGUCUAGUAGUGAGCAUACUUCCAAUGGGAUAAAAUUUCAUAAAUCUUCCCAAAUAUUUGUUUCUGUCGUUUUCUGCAGACAUAAGUCAUAUGGUCUUGCAGUCCCAAUUUAAUUAAAAAUCAAAGCUGA
This is a long non-coding RNA of Microtus oregoni (creeping vole), 442 nucleotides long. RefSeq lists it as uncharacterized. NCBI's taxonomy places the organism in Eukaryota, Metazoa, Chordata, Mammalia, Rodentia, Cricetidae. The record is from RefSeq and is a predicted model, not a curated record. The transcript is spliced from 3 exons.